AACGAACGCUGGCGGCAUGCCUAACACAUGCAAGUCGAACGAGACCUUCGGGUCUAGUGGCGCACGGGUGCGUAACGCGUGGGAAUCUGCCCCUUGGUUCGGAAUAACUUCGGGAAACUGAAGCUAAUACCGGAUAAUGACGUAAGUCCAAAGAUUUAUCGCCAAGGGAUGAGCCCGCGUAGGAUUAGCUAGUUGGUGGGGUAAAGGCUCACCAAGGCGACGAUCCUUAGCUGGUCUGAGAGGAUGAUCAGCCACACUGGGACUGAGACACGGCCCAGACUCCUACGGGAGGCAGCAGUGGGGAAUAUUGGACAAUGGGCGAAAGCCUGAUCCAGCAAUGCCGCGUGAGUGAUGAAGGCCUUAGGGUUGUAAAGCUCUUUUUACCCGGGAAGGAUAAUGACUGUACCGGGAGAAUAAGCCCCGGCUAACUCCGUGCCAGCAGCCGCGGUAAU
RNAcentral lists this ribosomal RNA (452 nucleotides) under uncultured bacterium. Its description in RNAcentral is "bacterial SSU rRNA". It matches the Rfam family "Bacterial small subunit ribosomal RNA", at positions 29 to 524 of the family's 1533-position model. The record is from RNAcentral.